This 66-nucleotide transfer RNA is filed under the name uncultured Gemmiger sp. It matches the Rfam family "tRNA". Rfam says of the family: Transfer RNA (tRNA) molecules are approximately 80 nucleotides in length. Their secondary structure includes four short double-helical elements and three loops (D, anti-codon, and T loops). Further hydrogen bonds mediate the characteristic L-shaped molecular structure. tRNAs have two regions of fundamental functional importance: the anti-codon, which is responsible for specific mRNA codon recognition, and the 3' end, to which the tRNAs corresponding amino acid is attached (by aminoacyl-tRNA synthetases). tRNAs cope with the degeneracy of the genetic code in two manners: having more than one tRNA (with a specific anti-codon) for a particular amino acid; and 'wobble' base-pairing, i.e. permitting non-standard base-pairing at the 3rd anti-codon position. The record is from RNAcentral. Lineage: Bacteria; Bacillati; Bacillota; Clostridia; Eubacteriales; Oscillospiraceae.
GGCAUAGCUCAAUUGGCAGAGCAGCUGAUUUGUAAUCAGCAGGUUGCAGGUUCGAUUCCUGUUGCC